UGCAAAAGUGAUACGUUUCUUUUGAUUUUCUGUACGACUUGUCACUGUCUAGAGUGAAUAUUUUCUUUUGUUGUGUUGUCAAAUCGAAAGGAAAAUAAUAUGAGCCAUGGAACCAGGAUUUACAAAAGCAAACAUCGGUCUGUCAGGGCAUCUUAUGGCGAUGAUGCGAUAAGUUAAACCGUGAAAGAAAUAUAUUCACACCAAAAGGUAACAUAACAAGUACGUAAAAUACAAGAAAUGAAACCUAACCUCAAAAAAGUUUGUUUAUUAUUGCAUUUAAUCCUCGACCAACAUAAUACUGGUUUAUAAUCUUCAAAUUCAGGUAAAUACUUGCAUCACAUUGAUUUUCACAGAAAUUGAAGUGUAUUUAUUUCAUACUAAACAUAUAUGAUUUAAUCGUUUUACGACUAGGAAUUUCAGAUACAGUAAUUUUUUUUUGACGUUGACGUUUUAUUGCCAGCAUUUACCAUAUGAAGGAAGGUACUUGAAUGGACUGAAUGGGACGAAUAAUGAAACGAUUAAUUUAACAGGAGAUACAUUUACAUAUUUAAUAUCGACUAUGAUGACAUCUACAUUAUAUCAUUGGAUAUAAUUGACUUGAUAUUACAAUGUAUGUAGAGACUGAAACAAGAGAUAACAAAAAUAAUAAAAAAAUAAAUUCCAACCAGAAUUGCUAAAUGAAAAAUUCAUGAAGGGGUUCAAUUCGUGAUAUGUAUCAUACCAGAAUAAAAAAUUGACAUCGUUUUUGCUUGAACUUUGUGUGGAACCUCACGGUGAUUUGAAUACAUUCAUCUAGCAAUUUCAUCAGUCAGAUAGUUAAAAAAAUAUACAGGUAUUCAAAACAAUAUAUUUUAAACACUGUUUUCUGAACGGUACUUCUAUAAUCUAGCAUUAUCGAUAACAAAUAUGAAUGGUAGAGUCCUACUGAAAUAUAGCCGAUUUAUAUAAACCAAAUAAAUAGAUGGGUUGAGGAAGAGAGAGAGAGAGAGAGAGAGCUGUAAUCUCCUUAAGAACUCGACUCUCAGAAGUAGAAACUUGUGGAAGUUCAGAAUCAACAACCUGCCUGUUAAUGAGCGAUCCAUAGCACGAAAACCGGAUGAACUUCCUACCGAUCAUCACCGUUAGUAACUAAUAAACAAUCUAUAAAUAGAUAAUCUGGAAGUUUUGAUGAUUUUGGUAUACAAAUGUGCACUUUGUACACUAUAACAUACUAAAAUCUCCAAUGAAUAUUUAUAGUGUUACUGGAUCCUCAACUGAAUAUAUAACUGUAUUUACUAACUCGGAACGAAUUAUAUCAAUACACAAAACAUAAUGAGUAUUUUUAAUUUCAGAUUUGCAGAAUCUUAUCGCUGUAGAGUAAUUGGUAGUUUAUCAUACGUGAUGAUGUAUGAAUUUGAUAUGGAUAAUGAUUAAAGAUAAUGACUGAGA
This is a long non-coding RNA of Leptinotarsa decemlineata (Colorado potato beetle), 1428 nucleotides long. The record is from RefSeq and is a predicted model, not a curated record. Lineage: Eukaryota; Metazoa; Arthropoda; Insecta; Coleoptera; Chrysomelidae.